UUAAAAUCCGUUGGCUUUUUAGACCGUGAGGGUUCAAGUCCCUCUACCCCCA
RNAcentral lists this transfer RNA (52 nucleotides) under Saccogyna viticulosa. RNAcentral describes it as "partial tRNA-Leu". Lineage: Eukaryota; Viridiplantae; Streptophyta; Jungermanniopsida; Jungermanniales; Saccogynaceae. The record is from RNAcentral. RNAcentral also lists the same sequence under 1 other name.